Podarcis lilfordi (Lilford's wall lizard) is the source of this 86-nucleotide non-coding RNA. NCBI's taxonomy places the organism in Eukaryota, Metazoa, Chordata, Lepidosauria, Squamata, Lacertidae. The record is from the annotation of a GenBank genome assembly.
GUGCGCCAGGUAGCUCAGUUGGUUUAGAGUAUGGUGCUGAUAAUGCCAAGGUUGUGGGUUUGACCCCCUUAUGGGCCACCUGCAUA